Brassica rapa (field mustard) is the source of this 3205-nucleotide long non-coding RNA. RefSeq lists it as uncharacterized. Lineage: Eukaryota; Viridiplantae; Streptophyta; Magnoliopsida; Brassicales; Brassicaceae. The record is from RefSeq and is a predicted model, not a curated record.
UUCCUGAUAAAUAUGCGAUUUAACUCCCUGAAAUUAGACGUUUCCUUGUCCCAUAAAGUUAAACGUACCAGUUUGGAUCUACAAAUAAUUAUUGUAUUAUAUUUCAAUUUUUUUUAUAUUUUCUAUAUAUCUAGGGUAUUAGGGUCAUUUUGAGCAUUUUGCUACAUGUCAUCUCUACAAUUAAAAAAAUAAACAUGAGACGGAUAAUUUUAUUUAAUGUUGGUAAUAUCUUAUGCAUCAUCUAUAAAAUAAAUAUAUAUUCAUAUAUAACAUUCCAGAUUUAGUAAUAUUAUUAUUUUUAUAUAAUUAUACAAUUUGUAUUACUAAAGUUUUUUAAAAUAUGCAAUUUUUAAACAUCUAAAUCUAAUCGUAUGAUAUUUAGUUUCUUAUAUAUCUACAAAAUCUUAAAAAUAUUGUUUAGGCCAAAUGUUUGAUAAUUAUACAAUUUUAUAUCAUUUUUUUUAGUUUUAUACAAUUUGAUAUAAUAUAUAUCAAAUCUAUAUUAAAUUUUAUUAAGAUAAUAGUAAAAUCUAUAACAUUUAAUAAAAUUUAUUUUUAAAUAUAAGUUAGAACAACAUUAAGAACCUCAAUUGAAAUAGCAUAAUAAUGGGAUGCGUGAGAAGCUUUGUGAUUCAACACGCCUCCGGUCACUGUGGCGAAAGACUAAACAAAAGCAUGUAAUUUUAUAAAAUAGAAUGAGCUUCUUAGUUUCUUGGUAUCAUAUACUGUAAAUGAAUAUUGGGCUGACUUCAGUAUUGACUGAGAUUCAAAUAAAUUGUUUGGGCUUCGUAAUUGACAUGGAUAUCAGCCCAGUCUGAGAUGAGCUGGUAGAUUGAUUGGCCAUGAAUUUUCUGCCUAUGUGGCACACUUUAGAAGUCUCAAAAAUAGCUCAUUUUAUAUAGUAGAAUUAUAUUUUAGAUAUAGAAUAUGCAUAAAAAACAAAAAAAAUCAGUAGGUUAAUAUAUGAAUAUUACAAUUACGUCAAAUUGCAUUAAGUUAUAAAAUUAUAAAUAUAAUAUUACGUACAGAUAAAAAAUUAUUAUUAAACAUCUAUAUUAUAAUAUAAUAUAUUCUACACUAAAUAUAUUUUACAAAACAUAAAAAUAUAAAUGAAGAUUUUAUAAAAUCAAUGGUUUAUAAAUUUACACUGAACGCAAGUUAAAUCCAACAUCCGUGCGGGAACGCGGGUCAAGAUCUAUUUUUGAAGCUUCUAUUCUUGAAUAAAGCAUUCAAACACAGAGAACAUAAUCAAUCUCCUCCUAUGAAAGUCUUUGGAUCAGCAGCCAAAUCAAAUUCUCCUAUGAAAAUCUUUGGAUCAGUAGCCAAAUCAAAUGGGUCAAAUCUGCCACCUCCGUAAAGCAAAACCUCAUCUUCUUUCUACAUCCCAUUUCUUACUCGAUAACUUACAACAGCUCCCAUCAAAAUCUCCUAAAUGGUCUAAAUAGGCAAGAUGCUUACAACAUUAAGUUUUGAAGUAAAUACACACUUUCGAGGGUUUUGUUUUGUAAACUAAGCGUAAAACAAGUUCAUAUGAACCCACUCAACAGACAAGUUCUUAUAUUUGACCACCCAUCUAUCAGUCACUUUCUUUACGUUUUCAAAUAAUACUUAAACUAUUGUCUACAUAAAAAUAUAUUCAUAUCAUAUUACUGAAUAAAUAAUGUUUCCUCAUAUAUAUGAUCUAUACUAUACUAAAAGCGAGAUAUAAGCUUCUCUUAGAGUGUCCACGUAGGCACAAAAAAUCGUCCAAUCAGAACAUUUUAUUUUCACACGUCACCAUUGUCUGAAACAACGUGGACUUCAUUUUUUUUGUGAGUCCAAAUGUUUAUGUCAAUGGACAAUGGCCCAGAAAGCCCAUUCCGUUUACGUCUUUUCUUUUUCUCUGUUCCUCGACUCUUCUUCAACUUCGUCUCUCUACUUAGUCUGAAGUUUUUUCUUUCAAACUCUUUACCUUCCUUAACGUUCAACGAGGUUCAACGUAUCCUACUAAAUUCCCUUAAUUAAUGUGAUUCUCAUUCAACCCAAUAACAUUCUCGACUUCUCAGUUUCCUUCCUUUCAUAUAUGAUUGGAGAGGAUUGCGAAUGGGAUGAAUCUUCACAAUCACUCUCAAUUAAUUGAUCCUUCGAAAAUGUCUUCCUCCGAUGUUGUUGCGCAAUCCGCCUUCGAUGUUCUCCAACUGGGUAGAUCUUCACAGUUCAUUGUUGCUCGCCUGCUACGUUUUUGGACUCUAAAAACAUCAAGAACUGUAGCAUCAAGCUUUACUCUGGCUUGAAGCCUCAAUCUGCAAGUAUGUUCCUUUUUCUUCUGAAUCUUUUCGAAAGUUUCUGUCUUUAAAUCGAAGCCUCAAUCUGCAAGCUUUUUGACAAAUGGGCAUCAGAAUUUGAAUAGGAGUUCUAUGGCAGGAUCCACAAGAGUUUGCAAUCCAGUACAGGGAAAGCGAGUUGGUCACGGGUGAAGAUGAUGCCUAUAGGUACACCUACAUAAUGGGCUUGCCUAAAACCUUGCAGGUUUUCUUCUUGCUGCCGCUGAAAAGGUACUCUUUAUUUCACUUUCUUUUGAAGCAUGUGGAAACCAAAAUUGAUCUUAUAUGCUAGCUAGACUCUGAGGAACUUGAAGUUGAAUUAUUGUUUUUUGUGAAAGGGUCAACGGUUUGCGAUGCCAUUGUUAAGGAUCGCUCUCCAGUCACCUGCUGGUGCAGCUUGUGGUCAGCUAGUGCAGCUAUAAGCCGCUUAUCUCUAUGGAUUAUAAAAAAUAAUUUUCCUCUCUUAUACUAACAUGGUAAAGCUAUAUAUAUACACUUGCAAAAUUCCUUCAGGCUGAUGAUAUUCAAAAUGAAGCAAAGGAGCUUUCAAGGAUAAGAGAUUACCUCUUCAACUAACUAGCCAAAAAUACAGGACAGCCUGCGGAAAAGGAUCUUCAAAGAUUUGAGCAGAUUGAAAAGGUUCAACUCAGAAGAAGCUAUAGAGUGCGGACUUAUCAUUGUUAGACCACCGCGCAUCAAAGACAACGCUCCUCUCCAAGAUGAAACCUGAGGUCUUGGUUAAUCUGCUUUAUUAACAUUCUGUAAUGUCAAAGUCUUACAAGCUUGGAGUUGUUGUUCUUUGUGCGAUUGUUACCAAAUAAAAUCAUUUAUGUAUAUAGAGUUAUUUAAUUAUCAUUGGAUCUUGAAACCAGUUACGAAUUCAAAAGUUUUUUAUUUAUCGC